This 331-nucleotide ribosomal RNA is filed under the name uncultured eukaryote. Its description in RNAcentral is "partial 18S ribosomal RNA". It matches the Rfam family "Eukaryotic small subunit ribosomal RNA", at positions 1470 to 1796 of the family's 1831-position model. The record is from RNAcentral.
CCCUUAGAUGUUCUGGUCCGCACGCGCGCUACACUGACGAAGUCAGCGAGCAUGUCCUACGCCGACAGGUGCGGGGAAUCUUGUCAAACUUCGUCGUGAUGGGGAUUGAUUAUUGAAAUUCUUGAUCAUCAACGAGGAAUUCCUAGUAAGCGCAAGUCAGCAGCUUGCGUUGAUUACGUCCCUGCCCUUUGUACACACCGCCCGUCGCUACUACCGAUUGAAUGGUUUAGUGAGAUCUUCGGAUUGGCGCCACUGCGGCUCAGCAAUGGGCUCGGUGGAUGCCGAAAAGUUGAUCAAACUUGAUCAUUUAGAGGAAGUAAAAGUCGUAACA